GACGAACGCUGGCGGCGUGCCUAAUACAUGCAAGUUGAGCGCUGAAGGUUGGUACUUGUACCGACUGGAUGAGCAGCGAACGGGUGAGUAACGCGUGGGGAAUCUGCCUUUGAGCGGGGGACAACAUUUGGAAACGAAUGCUAAUACCGCAUAAAAACUUUAAACACAAGUUUUAAGUUUGAAAGAUGCAAUUGCAUCACUCAAAGAUGAUCCCGCGUUGUAUUAGCUAGUUGGUGAGGUAAAGGCUCACCAAGGCGAUGAUACAUAGCCGACCUGAGAGGGUGAUCGGCCACAUUGGGACUGAGACACGGCCCAAACUCCUACGGGAGGCAGCAGUAGGGAAUCUUCGGCAAUGGACGAAAGUCUGACCGAGCAACGCCGCGCGAGUGAAGAAGGUUUUCGGAUCGUAAAACUCUGUUGGUAGAGAAGAACGUUGGUGAGAGUGGAAAGCUCAUCAAGUGACGGUAACUACCCAGAAAGGGACGGCUAACUACGUG
This 497-nucleotide ribosomal RNA is filed under the name uncultured bacterium. Its description in RNAcentral is "partial 16S ribosomal RNA". It matches the Rfam family "Bacterial small subunit ribosomal RNA", at positions 28 to 507 of the family's 1533-position model. The record is from RNAcentral.